CCUACGGGGGGCUGCAGUGAGGAAUAUUGGUCAAUGGGCGCGAGCCUGAACCAGCCAAGUCGCGUGAGGGAUGAAUGUUCUAUGGAUCGUAAACCUCUUUUAUAAGGGAAUAAAGUGUGGGACGUGUCCUAUUUUGUAUGUACCUUAUGAAUAAGGAUCGGCUAACUCCGUGCCAGCAGCCGCGGUAAUACGGAGGAUCCGAGCGUUAUCCGGAUUUAUUGGGUUUAAAGGGUGCGUAGACGGCCUUUUAAGUCAGCGGUGAAAGUCUGUGGCUCAACCAUAGAAUUGCCGUUGAAACUGGCGGGCUUGAGUAUGUUUGAGGCAGGCGGAAUGCGUGGUGUAGCGGGGAAAUGCUUAGAUAUCACGAAGAACCCCGAUUGCGAAGGCAGCCUACCAAGCCAUGACUGACGCUGAUGCACGAAAGCGUGGGGAUCAAACAGGAUUAGAUACCCGGGUAGUC
This 460-nucleotide ribosomal RNA is filed under the name uncultured bacterium. RNAcentral describes it as "partial 16S ribosomal RNA". It matches the Rfam family "Bacterial small subunit ribosomal RNA", at positions 338 to 795 of the family's 1533-position model. The record is from RNAcentral.